UACGGAGGAUCCAAGCGUUAUCCGGAAUCAUUGGGUUUAAAGGGUCCGUAGGCGGGAUGUUAAGUCAGUGGUGAAAGUUUUCGGCUUAACCGAAAAAUUGCCAUUGAUACUGGCGUUCUUGAAUUAUUGUGAAGUAACUAGAAUACGUAGUGUAGCGGUGAAAUGCAUAGAUAUUACGUGGAAUACCAAUUGCGAAGGCAGGUUACUAACAAUAUAUUGACGCUGAUGGACGAAAGCGUGGGUAGCGAAC
This 250-nucleotide ribosomal RNA is filed under the name uncultured bacterium. RNAcentral's name for it is "partial 16S ribosomal RNA". It matches the Rfam family "Bacterial small subunit ribosomal RNA", at positions 524 to 773 of the family's 1533-position model. The record is from RNAcentral.